This 224-nucleotide ribosomal RNA is filed under the name Durinskia baltica. RNAcentral's name for it is "partial Bacterial small subunit ribosomal RNA". It matches the Rfam family "Bacterial small subunit ribosomal RNA", at positions 488 to 711 of the family's 1533-position model. The record is from RNAcentral. Lineage: Eukaryota; Dinophyceae; Peridiniales; Kryptoperidiniaceae.
AAGCAUCGGCUAACUCCGUGCCAGCAGCCGCGGUAAUACGGAGGGAGCUAGCGUUGUUCGGAAUAACUGGGCGUAAAGCGCACGUAGGCGGAUACUUAAGUGAGGGGUGAAAUCCCAGGGCUCAACCCUGGAACUGCCUUUCAUACUGGGUAUCUCGAGUUCGAGAGAGGUGAGUGGAAUUGCGAGUGUAGAGGUGAAAUUCGUAGAUAUUCGCAGGAACACCA